GCCUUCGCGGUGUAGUGAUCAGCACACUGGGCACAUAUUUCAGAGGUCCGUGGUUCGAAUCCUGGCGAAGGCG
Molecule: transfer RNA, 73 nt
Filed under: Stegodyphus mimosarum
Lineage: Eukaryota; Metazoa; Arthropoda; Arachnida; Araneae; Eresidae
Rfam family: tRNA
About the family: Transfer RNA (tRNA) molecules are approximately 80 nucleotides in length. Their secondary structure includes four short double-helical elements and three loops (D, anti-codon, and T loops). Further hydrogen bonds mediate the characteristic L-shaped molecular structure. tRNAs have two regions of fundamental functional importance: the anti-codon, which is responsible for specific mRNA codon recognition, and the 3' end, to which the tRNAs corresponding amino acid is attached (by aminoacyl-tRNA synthetases). tRNAs cope with the degeneracy of the genetic code in two manners: having more than one tRNA (with a specific anti-codon) for a particular amino acid; and 'wobble' base-pairing, i.e. permitting non-standard base-pairing at the 3rd anti-codon position.
Source: Rfam by way of RNAcentral